GGGAACAUACCCUUUUCUACGGAAUAGCUCUGGGAAACUGGAAUUAAUACCGUAUACGCCCUACGGGGGAAAGAUUUAUCGGGGAAGGAUUGGCCCGCGUUGGAUUAGCUAGUUGGUGGGGUAAAGGCCUACCAAGGCGACGAUCCAUAGCUGGUCUGAGAGGAUGAUCAGCCACAUUGGGACUGAGACACGGCCCAAACUCCUACGGGAGGCAGCAGUGGGGAAUAUUGGACAAUGGGCGCAAGCCUGAUCCAGCCAUGCCGCGUGAGUGAUGAAGGCCUUAGGGUUGUAAAGCUCUUUCACCGAUGAAGAUAAUGACGGUAGUCGGAGAAGAAGCCCCGGCUAACUUCGUGCCAGCAGCCGCGGUAAUACGAAGGGGGCUAGCGUUGUUCGGAAUUACUGGGCGUAAAGCGCACGUAGGCGGAUAUUUAAGUCAGGGGUGAAAUCCCAGAGCUCAACUCUGGAACUGCCUUUGAUACUGGGUAUCUUGAGUAUGGAAGAGGUAAGCGGAAUUGCGAGU
RNAcentral lists this ribosomal RNA (520 nucleotides) under uncultured bacterium. RNAcentral's name for it is "bacterial SSU rRNA". It matches the Rfam family "Bacterial small subunit ribosomal RNA", at positions 120 to 674 of the family's 1533-position model. The record is from RNAcentral.